This 265-nucleotide long non-coding RNA is filed under the name Homo sapiens (human). Its description in RNAcentral is "PREDICTED lncRNA (TCONS_00026727)". The record is from RNAcentral. Lineage: Eukaryota; Metazoa; Chordata; Mammalia; Primates; Hominidae.
GCUCACCCUUCACCCCAAGACAGCUUUGAUCACUGGGAAGUUUCCACAAACACAGAAUGAAUGAGGAAGAAGGUGAUUAUAUUUUCGGUGUGAUCCACGUGGACGAGAGGUGUUGCAUGUUUUUACAAAUUGAAGAUCUGUGACAACCCUGGGUCAAGCAAGUCUAUCAGUGCCAUUCUUCCAACAUAGGUGUAUAUGCUGGAGCAGCUGUACUUAAGUCCAGAAAUAAGAAGAUAUUUGAUCUGAGGACUCAGGAGAGAGCAUG